AAACCAGAUAUAAAAUUUCAGAAUGAUACAUUGAAAGAAAAGAAGACGACACGUCGAAUCUGACUUAGAAAACAAUGAAGUUAACACAUAAAAUCCACAACUAACAAAGCACAAAAUUUUCCAGAAUGAUAAACCACGGUACACUGAAAUAUUCGAAAAAGAAUGAAGAAGCUGAGAACGAACAUGUACAACUUGUAACCGCAACAUAUACACCAUAUUCACAACUCAACGAAGAACAAAACGCUUUCAGCGAACAAAAAAAACCUGUGAAUAAAUACAGAAAAAGAACUUCAUUAAGUGCUUCCUUAACCUUCAACACUGACUUCAGCUUGCACGAUGACUGGAUUCAUUUCAGACUUGGGGCACAAUCGGGUUGAAUUUCCAUUUCUUCUGUUUUUUCUGUACAUUUUUUCUCAUCUGAACCCUUUGCUUCAGCAAGUUUUGAUUUUCUUUCAACAGGUUUCACUUUA
Long non-coding RNA from Lycium ferocissimum, 470 nucleotides. RefSeq lists it as uncharacterized. The record is from RefSeq and is a predicted model, not a curated record. Lineage: Eukaryota; Viridiplantae; Streptophyta; Magnoliopsida; Solanales; Solanaceae. The transcript is spliced from 2 exons.